RNAcentral lists this ribosomal RNA (502 nucleotides) under uncultured soil bacterium. Its description in RNAcentral is "bacterial SSU rRNA". It matches the Rfam family "Bacterial small subunit ribosomal RNA", at positions 26 to 481 of the family's 1533-position model. The record is from RNAcentral.
AGAUUGAACGCUGGCGGCAGGCCUAACACAUGCAAGUCGAGCGGCAGCACGGGUACUUGUACCUGGUGGCGAGCGGCGGACGGGUGAGUAAUGCCUAGGAAUCUGCCUGGUAGUGGGGGAUAACGCUCGGAAACGGACGCUAAUACCGCAUACGUCCUACGGGAGAAAGCAGGGGACCUUCGGGCCUUGCGCUAUCAGAUGAGCCUAGGUCGGAUUAGCUAGUUGGUGAGGUAAUGGCUCACCAAGGCGACGAUCCGUAACUGGUCUGAGAGGAUGAUCAGUCACACUGGAACUGAGACACGGUCCAGACUCCUACGGGAGGCAGCGAGUGGGGAAUAGUUGGACAAGUUGGGACGAAAGGCCUUAGGAUACCCAGCCCAAGUGCCCGGCGGUGGUGUAGGAAGUAAGGUCGUUCGGUAUUGGUAAAAGUCUACGUUUAAAGGUUGGGAAGGUAAGGGCGUACGGUUAACUAAGUUACGUUAUGUUGUUUUGACGUUACCGA